AGAAAGCACUAGGGGUGUUUCGUAACUGAGAUGAAGCAGUUUUGCUUCAAACCCUUCGAACCUGAUCUAGCUUAGACUAGCGUAGGAAAGUGUAGGAUGUCUGCC
Molecule: non-coding RNA, 105 nt
Filed under: Staphylococcus carnosus
Lineage: Bacteria; Bacillati; Bacillota; Bacilli; Caryophanales; Staphylococcaceae
Description: TPP sequence
Rfam family: TPP riboswitch aptamer (THI element)
About the family: Vitamin B(1) in its active form thiamin pyrophosphate (TPP) is an essential coenzyme that is synthesised by coupling of pyrimidine and thiazole moieties in bacteria. The previously detected thiamin-regulatory element, thi box was extended, resulting in a new, highly conserved RNA secondary structure, the THI element, which is widely distributed in eubacteria and also occurs in some archaea.
Source: RNAcentral